AACUGGGGAAGUCUUGCACUGAUACAUUUAUGACGUUUACAAAACCAAAAUCCUCCUAUGAUGGAUCUCCAGUCAAAGCUGAAAAGCUGCCAACCAAGAGAAAGUUAGCUGCAGACUUCCUUAGUGACCCAAGGCUUGAGAAAAGAAGAAACUGGAUACAAAGACUUUGAACAAUUUAUAGUUACCAGUUAUUUCAGCCAGUCCUCAAAUGAUAUCUCAUUCCGAUACAUGUAUGGGAAGGUAAAUAUUCAGGCUGCAGUCAAAGACCACGACUAUUGCCAGAUGCCUUUUACUGAGCACUGGGUGGACAAUUCCAUAAAGGUACGUGUAAUGGAUUUUGUGAAAUAAAUCUAACUCUUAUGAUUUUAGCUGUUUAAAAUUUAAUGCUAAUUUU
This is a long non-coding RNA of Saccostrea echinata, 394 nucleotides long. RefSeq lists it as uncharacterized. The record is from RefSeq and is a predicted model, not a curated record. NCBI's taxonomy places the organism in Eukaryota, Metazoa, Mollusca, Bivalvia, Ostreida, Ostreidae. The transcript has 3 exons.